RNAcentral lists this ribosomal RNA (396 nucleotides) under uncultured bacterium. Its description in RNAcentral is "partial 16S ribosomal RNA". It matches the Rfam family "Bacterial small subunit ribosomal RNA", at positions 523 to 918 of the family's 1533-position model. The record is from RNAcentral.
AUACGUAGGGAGCGAGCGUUGUCCGGAAUUACUGGGUGUAAAGGGAGCGUAGGCGGGAGUGCAAGUCAGAUGUGAAAUACAUGGGCUCAACCCAUGGGCUGCAUUUGAAACUGCAUUUCUUGAGUGAAGUAGAGGUAAGCGGAAUUCCUGGUGUAGCGGUGAAAUGCGUAGAUAUCAGGAGGAACACCGGUGGCGAAGGCGGCUUACGGGGCUUUUACUGACGCUGAGGCUCGAAAGCGUGGGGAGCAAACAGGAUUAGAUACCCUGGUAGUCCACGCUGUAAACGAUGAUUACUAGGUGUGGGGGGACUGACCUCUUCCGUGCCGCAGUUAACACAAUAAGUAAUCCACCUGGGGAGUACGGCCGCAAGGUUGAAACUCAAAUGAAUUGACGGGG